Molecule: non-coding RNA, 236 nt
Organism: Pelobates cultripes (western spadefoot toad)
Lineage: Eukaryota; Metazoa; Chordata; Amphibia; Anura; Pelobatidae
Source: the annotation of a GenBank genome assembly
CAGUGUGUGUGUUGUGUUAGUGUAUGCAGUGUAUGUGUGUGUUAGUGUAUGCAGGACGUGUGUGUUGUGUUGUAUGCAGUGUGUGUGUUAGUGUAUGCAGUGUGUGUGUGUGUUAGUGUAUGCAGUGUGUGUGUUGUGUUGUAUGCAGUGUGUGUGUUAGUGUAUGCAGUGUGUGUGUUGUGUUAGUGAAUGCAGUGUAUGUGUGUGUUAUUGUAUGCAGUGUGUGUGUUGUGUUA